This 490-nucleotide ribosomal RNA is filed under the name uncultured bacterium. RNAcentral describes it as "partial 16S ribosomal RNA". It matches the Rfam family "Bacterial small subunit ribosomal RNA", at positions 29 to 507 of the family's 1533-position model. The record is from RNAcentral.
AUGAACGCUAGCUACAGGCUUAACACAUGCCAGUCGAGGGGAAACGAUGAGAGAGCUUGCUCUCUUAGUCGUCGACCGGCGCACGGGUGAGUAACGCGUAUCCAACCUGCCUCUGACCAAGGGAUAACCCGUCGAAAGUCGGACUAAUACCUUAUGCAGUCGUCGGAAGUCAUCUGAUGACGACGAAAGAUUUCAUCGGUGAGCGAUGGGGAUGCGUCUGAUUAGCUUGUUGGCGGGGUAACGGCCCACCAAGGCGACGAUCAGUAGGGGUUCUGAGAGGAAGGUCCCCCACAUUGGAACUGAGACACGGUCCAAACUCCUACGGGAGGCAGCAGUGAGGAAUAUUGGUCAAUGGGCGUAAGCCUGAACCAGCCAAGUAGCGUGCAGGAUGACGGCCCUAUGGGUUGUAAACUGCUUUUAUGCGGGGAUAAAGUGAGGGACGUGUCCUUCAUUGCAGGUACCGCAUGAAUAAGGACCGGCUAAUUCCGUG